RNAcentral lists this ribosomal RNA (433 nucleotides) under uncultured bacterium. RNAcentral describes it as "partial 16S ribosomal RNA". It matches the Rfam family "Bacterial small subunit ribosomal RNA", at positions 29 to 507 of the family's 1533-position model. The record is from RNAcentral.
AACGAACGCUGGCGGCAUGCCUAACACAUGCAAGUCGAACGAGACCUUCGGGUCUAGUGGCGCACGGGUGCGUAACGCGUGGGAACCUGCCCUUAGGUUCGGAAUAACUCCCCGAAAGGGGUGCUAAUACCGGAUAAUGUCUUCGGACCAAAGAUUUAUCGCCUUUGGAUGGGCCCGCGUUGGAUUAGCUAGUUGGUAGGGUAAAAGCCUACCAAGGCGACGAUCCAUAGCUGGUCUGAGAGGAUGAUCAGCCACACUGGGACUGAGACAUGGCCCAGACUCCUACGGGAGGCAGCAGUGGGGAAUAUUGGAAAAUGGGCGAAAGCCUGAUCCAGCAAUGCCGCGUGAGUGAUGAAGGCCUUAGGGUUGUAAAGCUCUUUUACCCGGGAUGAUAAUGACAGUACCGGGAGAAUAAGCUCCGGCUAACUCCGUG